UUUGACAUCCCUAUCGCGGAUCGUGGAGACACUUUCCUUCAGUUCGGCUGGAUAGGUGACAGGUGCUGCAUGGCUGUCGUCAGCUCGUGUCGUGAGAUGUUGGGUUAAGUCCCGCAACGAGCGCAACCCUCGCCUUUAGUUGCCAGCAUUUAGUUGGGUGCUCUAAAGGAACCGCCGGUGAUAAGCCGGAGGAAGGUGGGGAUGACGUCAAGUCCUCAUGGCCCUUACGCGUUGGGCUACACACGUGCUACAAUGGCGACUACAGUGGGCAGCCACCUCGCGAGAGGGAGCUAAUCUCCAAAAGUCGUCUCAGUUCGGAUCGUUCUCUGCAACUCGAGAGCGUGAAGGCGGAAUCGCUAGUAAUCGCGGAUCAGCAUGCCGCGGUGAAUACGUUCCCAGGCCUUGUACACACCGCCCGUCACACCAUGGGAGUUGGAUUCACUCGAAGGCGUUGAGCUAACCGUAAGGAGGCAGGCGACCACAGUGGGUUUAGCGACUGGGGUGAAGUCGUAACAAGGUAACCGAAGGGC
RNAcentral lists this ribosomal RNA (530 nucleotides) under uncultured Sphingomonas sp. Its description in RNAcentral is "bacterial SSU rRNA". It matches the Rfam family "Bacterial small subunit ribosomal RNA", at positions 980 to 1508 of the family's 1533-position model. Lineage: Bacteria; Pseudomonadati; Pseudomonadota; Alphaproteobacteria; Sphingomonadales; Sphingomonadaceae. The record is from RNAcentral.